This is a long non-coding RNA of Ostrinia nubilalis (European corn borer), 885 nucleotides long. RefSeq lists it as uncharacterized. The record is from RefSeq and is a predicted model, not a curated record. NCBI's taxonomy places the organism in Eukaryota, Metazoa, Arthropoda, Insecta, Lepidoptera, Crambidae. The transcript is spliced from 2 exons.
UAAUCAUCCAAGUCAAAUAAUAUGACUGAGUUAGGUUAUACUGAUGAGUUACUUAUAAACUUAGUGGAGGCUCGACCCGUAUUGUGGAACAAAACCUUAGAAAUUUACAAAGAAAGACGAACCACUUUUGAAGCAUGGAGAGAAAUAUUUAUUAUUCUGAACAAUGAUUUUGAAGAAAUGACAGAUAAACAAAAAAAUGAAUAUGGUAAGUCUAUAAUGAAGAAAUGGAAUAACAUGCGCGAUCGUUGGAUAAAAUGCAACAAAAGACGUAAAGAAAUGAAAUCGGGAUCGGGUGCAAAGAGCGUUCGUAAAUGUGAUUUCUAUGAUCAAAUGCUUUUUUUAAACAAAGUUACAACACGUCUUGAAACUGAUGGAAACAUACCCUUAGCUUCAAAUGUGGAAAAAUCUCCCAAAAUUUCACGUAUCGCAAAAAAAAGGAUAAAACAAGAGGAUGUUUCUGAGGUAGACCGAAAUAAUGCGCAAACGCAAUUCAUAAAAACUGUUACUAACGAAGAAGAGACACAAGAAGAGAGUCGUGCCAUGGCAUUUUUUAAAAGCAUAGCAUUGAGUGUAGAUAAGUUUAGUGAUGAGGAAAUGGUCGACUUUCAAUUUGAGGUUAUCAAACUGGUGCGCAACACACAAAAACGUAGGGGGAAUGAUGUUCGGCAUUAAUGGAAUCAAACUGACAAAAUAUAUUAAUACCCCGAGUAUUACGAAACAAGGCAGUCUCAUAUCCCAUCAUACUCGACCCGGCCAGGCUAUAACUACUAAAAACCCUGUCGCUCGUACCGGAAAAUACCUACAACUAAACUGCAAUUUGUAGUGGGAUACAACGUACACAGAAGAAUACGAUUUUGACUUUUCGUUGAUUAAAUGAUAAACCUA